Molecule: long non-coding RNA, 1044 nt
Filed under: Salmo salar (Atlantic salmon)
Lineage: Eukaryota; Metazoa; Chordata; Actinopteri; Salmoniformes; Salmonidae
Description: lncRNA (ENSSSAG00000087901.1, ENSSSAG00000102438.1)
Source: RNAcentral
GUUGACUCAAAGCUAGAGAAAGAUAAUAGUUGAACAGUUCUGAAAAAUGAGUUCCUUCAAAACUGAAGGAUAAGCAAGAGAGAGAGCUAGUUAUAUAUUUUUUUUUACUUUUAUUUUCACUUAUCUAGCGAAUGCAGCUAACUAGUUUAGCCUACUCAAACACCUCACUCAAACAGAGAGGGAUGCUAUGGUUGCUUGCUUGCUAUGCAGCACUGGAACUUCCAAGUCAAGGUCAUGGAACCUUUACACUCUGCUCUGGCGUUCUCACUCGAUGAUGGUGGCUGCUGGUGUUCCUAUCCUGGGAGGUUACAGAGGCAUGGCAGGGGCCUGCAGAGGUCGGGCCAAAGGCCCAUUACUUCACGAGUGCAGCACAGGUAACCUUUGCUGCCUUGCCUACAGAAUGGUGCCAACAUGGGAAGUGGUUGCUUGAGGGAUGGGCCCAAAAAAGUGUCUCCCAUUUUCCCCAUUAUCCCCUGUGCAUUUAUACCUGCGUUUUCUGUUUGUCUGUUGCCAGUUUGUCUUGUCUCGUCAAGCCUACCAGUGUGUUGUUCCAUACUCCUAUUUCUCUAGUUCCCGUUUUCCAGUCUUCCCAGUUCCAACCUUUUCUGCCUGCCCCCGAGCCUGCCUGCCUGCCGUCCUGUACCUAUCUGACUGAGCUGGUUACGAACUUCUGCCGGCCCUGACCCUGAGACUGCCUGCCGCCCUGUACCUGUCAAAGUUGGACCUGGUUACGAACCUCUGCCUGUCCUCGACCUUCCCUUUGCCUGCCUCCUGUGGAUUAAUAAACGAGUCUGUGUAUUGAACCUUCCGUCUCCUGUGUAUGCAUCUAGGUCAUAUCCUGAGUCAUGUUAGCUUAAAAUGUAAUAGCAAAACAGUUUGUUCAAAGCGGUCUCCAGACCCCCUUCACACUAUUCACUGUCCUUUUGGAAAAGUUAAAUUAACUUGGUAAUUGAAGGAGUUUCUGUUUUGAGGGAUAUAGGAUCUGUCAUGUUUGCUAUUAUACAGAAUAUAAUACGUGUCACCAUCUUUUAGAGAAAAUCUUGC